GGUGAGAUGGCCGAGCGGUCUAAGGCGCCAGACUAAGGACCGGGGUAGUCUGUACUCAUCACUAACCUUCAUGGUUAUCUGGUCCUCCGGGGCGUGGGUUCGAAUCCCACUCUCAUCA
RNAcentral lists this transfer RNA (118 nucleotides) under Pholiota conissans. It matches the Rfam family "tRNA". From Rfam's summary of the family: Transfer RNA (tRNA) molecules are approximately 80 nucleotides in length. The record is from Rfam by way of RNAcentral. Lineage: Eukaryota; Fungi; Basidiomycota; Agaricomycetes; Agaricales; Strophariaceae.